UUCCCCGAUGGUGUAACGGUAACAUCGCUGAUUUUCACUCAGCAGCCCCGGGUUCAACUCCCGGUCGAGGAAUC
Molecule: transfer RNA, 74 nt
Filed under: Fonsecaea erecta
Lineage: Eukaryota; Fungi; Ascomycota; Eurotiomycetes; Chaetothyriales; Herpotrichiellaceae
Description: tRNA-Glu
Rfam family: tRNA
About the family: Transfer RNA (tRNA) molecules are approximately 80 nucleotides in length. Their secondary structure includes four short double-helical elements and three loops (D, anti-codon, and T loops).
Source: RNAcentral